This 460-nucleotide ribosomal RNA is filed under the name uncultured bacterium. RNAcentral's name for it is "bacterial SSU rRNA". It matches the Rfam family "Bacterial small subunit ribosomal RNA", at positions 28 to 508 of the family's 1533-position model. The record is from RNAcentral.
GACGAACGCUGGCGGCGUGCUUAACACAUGCAAGUCGAGCGGAAAGGCCCUUCGGGGUACUCGAGCGGCGAACGGGUGAGUAACACGUGAGCAACCUGCCCCUGACUCUGGGAUAAGCCCGGGAAACUGGGUCUAAUACCGGAUAUGACCGCCCCUGGCAUCGGGUGGUGGUGGAAAGUUUUUUCGGUUGGGGAUGGGCUCGCGGCCUAUCAGCUUGUUGGUGGGGUAGUGGCCUACCAAGGCGACGACGGGUAGCCGGCCUGAGAGGGCAACCGGCCACACUGGGACUGAGACACGGCCCAGACUCCUACGGGAGGCAGCAGUGGGGAAUAUUGCGCAAUGGGCGGAAGCCUGACGCAGCGACGCCGCGUGGGGGAUGACGGCCUUCGGGUUGUAAACCUCUUUCAGCAGGGACGAAGUUGACGUGUACCUGCAGAAGAAGCGCCGGCUAACUACGUGC